GAGGAAUAUUGGUCAAUGGGCGGAAGCCUGAACCAGCCAAGUCGCGUGAGGGAAGACGGUCCUAUGGAUUGUAAACCUCUUUUGCAGGGGAGCAAUGCCAGGUACGUGUACCGGGAGGGAGAGUACCCUGAGACAAAGCAUCGGCUAACCCAGUUCCCGCGACCGCGGUAAUACGGAGGAUGCGAGCGUUAUCCGGAUUUAUUGGGUUUAAAGGGUGCGUAGGCGGACUUUUAAGUCAGCGGUAAAAAUGCGGUGCUUAACGCCGUAGUGCCGUUGAAACUGAGAGUCUUGAGUGAGCGAGAAGUAUGCGGAAUGAGUGGUGUAGCGGUGAAAUGCAUAGAUAUCACUCAGAACACCGAUUGCGAAGGCAGCAUACCGGCGCUCAACUGACGCUGAGGCACGAAAGCGUGGGGAUCGAACAGG
This 423-nucleotide ribosomal RNA is filed under the name uncultured bacterium. RNAcentral describes it as "bacterial SSU rRNA". It matches the Rfam family "Bacterial small subunit ribosomal RNA", at positions 356 to 776 of the family's 1533-position model. The record is from RNAcentral.